Molecule: long non-coding RNA, 2315 nt
Organism: Aethalodelphis obliquidens (Pacific white-sided dolphin)
Lineage: Eukaryota; Metazoa; Chordata; Mammalia; Artiodactyla; Delphinidae
Exons: 3
Source: RefSeq, a predicted model, not a curated record
GCUCUGUGCUGGGCUCCAGAAGUACAGACACAAAGGAGAGAAUCCCUGUGCCUUUGUCCUUGAGAAAGUCACUUCACAUCCCUGACCCUCAUUUUGCCUAGGUGAACGUUUUCUCUGCCCGCCUCAGAGGGUCAUGAGGCUUACCCAGGACAGUGCUCGGCACAUGACAAAGGGCUGCGGCACCUGUGGUUAAUUAGCAGAACCCUCUUAAACAAUCUCCAACUAACCACCUUGCCAGAUUACUGGAGGCUCUCCAUGCCCCGCAGCAAGCACGGCGCCUGUGCCCAGGACACACCAAACCCUUGAAGCUAGCAGGGCCUUCCCACCUCUCCAGCCCCUUCUUCCAAAAGAUCGACGCUUGACCCCAUUUCUGGCAAGAUUUCUGGCAAGAUUCUACCUGACCCCUGCUUCAAGUAUAGAGGGACAGAGGAAGGAAGACAACAGCAUCUCUGAAAGACAUCCUCAUCAUAUACAGCAUUCUCUCUUUGACUUCUUUCCCUCUGAGUUUAUCAGUUGAUUAAGAAACUCACUGGAUACCAACCGUGUACUAGGUGUAGGAAGGGGGAUCCCUAACCAUGAGAGACUCACUGUCCGGUUUGGAAGAUAACACGUGUGAAAUAGCGCUGCAGUGAUGCUGCUGAUGGUGACGAGGCUGGAAACGAUGGGGAGAAUGAAGAUGAUGGUGGCGCUGCCCAUCCUGAACCACGUACAGUCACAAAGCAUGUUUAUGACCAUGAUCUUAUUUCAUAUUCAAAACUAUCCAAAAGAAACCCAAUUUCAGGGAUGAACAAACGGAAGUAAUAACUGCUCUGAGAUCAGAUAAGAAGAAAAUAGCUGAGUUGGAUUCCAGCUUCUUUUUUUGGGCUCCACAAAUGCCAUUGUCCCCGAGAUAUCACAACUUUUUUCCUUUAAACUGCAGCAGAACGUUGCAAAAUGCACAUGAUCAUUAGACAGUAACUUGAGUAAUUGCCGCAUGGGAAGUGAAUGUGACCAGAGAUCAGAGAGCAGGCCGGUCAGGAGAUGGGGCUGUAGUGAUCAGAAGAGGCUUAGAGGAGAAAGGAGCAACUGAGUGCCGCCUAGGGGGCUGCACAGUAUUUGGACAUGCAAGUGGUAGAGAUGGGAGAUGGGGUGGCAUUCUUGGCAGGAGGAAACAUGUAGGUAAGAAAGGAAGUAAGAGAGUUCAAGGUGUAUCAAGAAACGCCAGACCCUCGUCUGACUGGAAGGAGGGCAUGUACAGUAGAUCUGCUGGAGAAGAGGAGAACUUGGGGACGGUUUCUCCCAAAGGCCUGGAGCAUUUCCCUUCAUUUUGCCAUAGGUGGGAGGGUCCACCCAUCUUCUCUCUGUCAUCCUUGUUGCUUUCAACCCCAAGUCCCUUUAUAAUCAAAUCAAAUCGAAGGACUGUCUGCAGUCUUAGCCCGAAGACAGAGCCUGUCACUUCCGACUUUUUUCUUUUAAAAAUGUCAGAGUGCUGCUGAAACAGGAACAGCAUUGAGGCAAGAGCUGCUCUGACUCACAAAGAGAACAUCAAAGAAGCAGCAGCGAUAAGGGGCUGGCAGUAAUUGUGUGUGUGAGCAGAGUUUUCCUGACACUCUUUGAGGCCUAGGGGCCCCUCUGGGCAGCCUCGUUGUGGAAAGAAGCAUGUGGUUUUCAGAAACAGGGUGACUCACCACACAGGCAGAGUUUGGGGACAGAGAUAUAGUCUUGGUCUGCUGGGACUUUCAGCCAGGAGCCCAGGCUUAGGGUUCUGGGUGUUGCACAUCUCAGGUCUCCAGUGAGCUAAGAUUCAUCUGGCCAUCCAAACAUUCAAGCAUCCAUCCAUCCAUCCACCCAUCCAUCCAUCCAUUUAACUAAUACUAUGAGCACACACUCUAUGUAGGCCCUGUGCUGGGUGCAAGAUGAUAUAGUGGUGACCAAGAUAGACACAGUCCCCGCCUUCAAGAGGCUGACAGUCUAGUGAAGAACAGAUGUAUUGAAGAAAUAAUUACAUGGGUAACUGAAUCACUACUGUGAUAAUGCUGUGAAAGAAAAUAUAGAGUACCCUGAGGGGGCACAUAAUAGGAGAGCUGACCUGUUCUGGGAAGCUGGUCAAUGAAAUCAGGGGCAGAUGCUAGAAGAUGGUGAUACUAAUAACUGUAUGAUCAGCCUUUUAGCACCAUCUCUCCCACCAUCAGGGAUGGUAAGAGUGUAGAACUCACCCUUGUUCUUUCAAACCCUCUCUUUCUCCCCCCUCCCCCUCCCCCUCCUUCUCUCUCUCUCUCUCUACACACACACACACACCCACACACACACACAACCCAUGAUGAGUUAAUGGAACA